RNAcentral lists this transfer RNA (64 nucleotides) under Ptosima chinensis. RNAcentral describes it as "tRNA-Cys". Lineage: Eukaryota; Metazoa; Arthropoda; Insecta; Coleoptera; Buprestidae. The record is from RNAcentral.
AGCCGUGUAGUCAAUUAUGAUUUUAAAUUGCAAGUUUAAAGGUGUGUCCUGUACUCCAAGGCUU